Molecule: long non-coding RNA, 556 nt
Organism: Paramisgurnus dabryanus
Lineage: Eukaryota; Metazoa; Chordata; Actinopteri; Cypriniformes; Cobitidae
Source: RefSeq, a predicted model, not a curated record
GAGAUUAACUGACAGACUGUAUAACGUUACAGGCCACCAAACAGUCUUACCAUAAAACCUUUUACAGUUUAGCACAAAUGUUUCCUGUGGAAGUUUGAAUCUCUCUCAGUCAGGGGGGAGAUUGACUGACAGACUGUCUACUUGCCACCAAACAUUAAUUUACCCUGAAACCUUUUUAAGUUUAGCACAAACGUUUCCCGCGCAAGUUUGGAUCUUUACCAUUGAGGGUGGCUGACUGUUUUCGACCAACCAUCAUUCACACGCAAAAACUUUAAAGAUAAGUAUGAACGUGCCCAGAGCAGUUUUCGAUCUUUACCAUUAAGGAGGCUGACUGACUAUCCUCUACCACCCGUCAUUAACACAAGAAAAACUAAAGAAAUGUUACUCCAUAUGGACCUAUUCAUUUACUCAUUAUGCUGUGAGUACACCACAGUUUUAUCAGGGAAAAAAAUUAUAUUUGUGUGUUUCUCACUGCUUGACAAGGACAGAUGUGGCCUUGUUAAAAAUGUUUAAAUGUUGUUUGGUUUAAGGAACAGCACACUGAUUUUGUUUUAAA